AACGAACGCUGGCGGCAUGCCUAACACAUGCAAGUCGAACGAGACCUUCGGGUCUAGUGGCGCACGGGUGCGUAACGCGUGGGAACCUGCCCUUAGGUUCGGAAUAACUCCCCGAAAGGGGUGCUAAUACCGGAUAAUGUCUUCGGACCAAAGAUUUAUCGCCUUUGGAUGGGCCCGCGUUGGAUUAGCUAGUUGGUAGGGUAAAAGCCUACCAAGGCGACGAUCCAUAGCUGGUCUGAGGGGAUGAUCAGCCACACUGGGACUGAGACACGGCCCAGACUCCUACGGGAAGCAGCAGUGGGGAAUAUUGGACAAUGGGCGAAAGCCUGAUCCAGCAAUGCCGCGUGAGUGAUGAAGGCCUUAGGGUUGUAAAGCUCUUUUACCCGGGAUGAUAAUGACAGUACCGGGAGAAUAAGCUCCGGCUAACUCCGUG
This 433-nucleotide ribosomal RNA is filed under the name uncultured bacterium. RNAcentral describes it as "partial 16S ribosomal RNA". It matches the Rfam family "Bacterial small subunit ribosomal RNA", at positions 29 to 507 of the family's 1533-position model. The record is from RNAcentral.